UACGUAGGGUGCAAGCGUUGUCCGGAAUUAUUGGGCGUAAAGAGCUCGUAGGCGGUCUGUUGCGUCGGCUGUGAAAACCCGGGGCUCAACCCCGGGCCUGCAGCCGAUACGGGCAGACUUGAGUUCGGCAGGGGAGACUGGAAUUCCUGGUGUAGCGGUGAAAUGCGCAGAUAUCAGGAGGAACACCGGUGGCGAAGGCGGGUCUCUGGGCCGAUACUGACGCUGAGGAGCGAAAGCGUGGGGAGCGAACAGG
This 253-nucleotide ribosomal RNA is filed under the name uncultured bacterium. Its description in RNAcentral is "partial 16S ribosomal RNA". It matches the Rfam family "Bacterial small subunit ribosomal RNA", at positions 524 to 776 of the family's 1533-position model. The record is from RNAcentral.